AUUGCAAAUGAAGCUGGUGCUUCUCCGCCUGAGACUGCGCGAGCUCAGCCAAUCUACCAACGAGAUCGGACUGAAGCUGCGCGUCCUGAGAUUCAAGCGACGCGAAAUCGCGAGAGAGCGAGAGGUACUUCUGCUCGAGAAGCGAGCACGUCUGCUCCGCCGUGAUGGAAGCGGCGUCGGCCUUGGCGCGGACACUGUCCAGCUCGGCGUAGAGCUUGCGGAUGUACUCGUCGGCUCUCUCGGCGACCACCGACGCGGCGUCGCUGGAGAGCCGCGCGAGCUCGUCGUCGGGCAUCGUUCGAAAGUCCAUGAGCUCUUUCUCCUGAGAUAGACGACUGCACAUAGCUUGCGAACGCGCCAACUCUGCUCCUGCUUCAGCAUAUCUAGACUCCUUCUCCGAAUUGGCGUCAGUGAGCUUAACCUGAUAAUAAAUUAACCAAUCUAUUACGGUUCAAACUUUAUUAGUAAAAAAAAAAAACAGAGAAGCAGCAUCAUUACUCACGAUUUUAUCCAGAUAACUCUUUAUAUUCGAAUUCUUCUCGCUAAUCUCAGCAUCCUUCUGCUCCAGCAACUCCAUGAGCUGCCUCUUGGACUUGUGAAGCUCAGACAUCUCCAUCGUCAUCCUCUCUAACUCUCCAUCCUUCUCAAUCUACAUCAUCAAAACAAGUAAACUCCGUCAAAUCACACGAAAACACUCAAAACCACCACACGAAAUCACAAGGACGUUACCGAUUGCAAAUGAAGCUGGUGCUUCUCCGCCUGAGACUGCGCGAGCUCAGCCAAUCUACCAACGAGAUCGGACUGAAGCUGCGCGUCCUGAGAUUCAAGCGACGCGAAAUCGCGAGAGAGCGAGAGGUACUUCUGCUCGAGAAGCGAGCACGUCUGCUCCGCCGUGAUGGAAGCGGCGUCGGCCUUGGCGCGGACACUGUCCAGCUCGGCGUAGAGCUUGCGGAUGUACUCGUCGGCUCGCUCGGCGACCA
RNAcentral lists this long non-coding RNA (980 nucleotides) under Brassica napus (rape). RNAcentral's name for it is "long non-coding RNA (BNAP_LNC006470)". The record is from RNAcentral. Lineage: Eukaryota; Viridiplantae; Streptophyta; Magnoliopsida; Brassicales; Brassicaceae.